AGAUUGAACGCUGGCGGCAGGCCUAACACAUGCAAGUCGAGCGGUAGAGAGGUGCUUGCACCUCUUGAGAGCGGCGGACGGGUGAGUAAUGCCUAGGAAUCUGCCUAGUGGUGGGGGAUAACGUUCGGAAACGGACGCUAAUACCGCAUACGUCCUACGGGAGAAAGCGGGGGACCUUCGGGCCUCGCGCCAUUAGAUGAGCCUAGGUCGGAUUAGCUAGUUGGUGAGGUAAUGGCUCACCAAGGCGACGAUCCGUAACUGGUCUGAGAGGAUGAUCAGACACACUGGAACUGAGACACGGUCCAGACUCCUACGGGAGCAGCAGUGGGGAAUAUUGGACAAUGGGCGAAAGCCUGAUCCAGCCAUGCCGCGUGUGUGAAGAGGUCUUCGGAUUGUAAAGC
RNAcentral lists this ribosomal RNA (401 nucleotides) under uncultured soil bacterium. RNAcentral describes it as "bacterial SSU rRNA". It matches the Rfam family "Bacterial small subunit ribosomal RNA", at positions 26 to 431 of the family's 1533-position model. The record is from RNAcentral.